GUAAUAUAAGAUACGGUUUCUUAGCUUUUAACUAAAAAAAACUAGAGUCGUCUCUUAUAUCUCUUAUUUAAGUGAAGUCUCUUAGUUUUUUUAGUUAAAAGCUAAGAGGUUGUAUCUUAUAUUAC
This is a non-coding RNA of Brassica napus (rape), 125 nucleotides long. The record is from Rfam. Lineage: Eukaryota; Viridiplantae; Streptophyta; Magnoliopsida; Brassicales; Brassicaceae.